This 253-nucleotide ribosomal RNA is filed under the name uncultured bacterium. Its description in RNAcentral is "partial 16S ribosomal RNA". It matches the Rfam family "Bacterial small subunit ribosomal RNA", at positions 524 to 776 of the family's 1533-position model. The record is from RNAcentral.
UACGGAGGAUGCAAGCGUUAUCCGGAAUGAUUGGGCGUAAAGCGUCCGUAGGCGGUUAUGUAAGUCUGUGGUUAAAGCGUGGGGCUCAACCCCAUAAAGGCCAUGGAAACUACAAGACUUGAGUGAAGUAGGGGUAGAGGGAAUUCCCAGUGUAGCGGUGAAAUGCGUAGAGAUUGGGAAGAACACCGGUGGCGAAGGCGCUCUACUGGACUUAAACUGACACUGAGGGACGAAAGCUAGGGGAGCGAAAGGG